UACGAAGGGGGCUAGCGUUGCUCGGAAUCACUGGGCGUAAAGGGCGCGUAGGCGGCCAUUCAAGUCGGGGGUGAAAGCCUGUGGCUCAACCACAGAAUUGCCUUCGAUACUGUUUGGCUUGAGUUUGGUAGAGGUUGGUGGAACUGCGAGUGUAGAGGUGAAAUUCGUAGAUAUUCGCAAGAACACCAGUGGCGAAGGCGGCGAGCUGGUCCAUUACUGACGCUGAGGCGCGACAGCGUGGGGAGCAAACAGG
RNAcentral lists this ribosomal RNA (253 nucleotides) under uncultured bacterium. Its description in RNAcentral is "partial 16S ribosomal RNA". It matches the Rfam family "Bacterial small subunit ribosomal RNA", at positions 524 to 776 of the family's 1533-position model. The record is from RNAcentral.